GACGAACGCUGGCGGCGUGCUUAACACAUGCAAGUCGAACGAAGAGCGAUGGAAGCUUGCUUCUAUCAAUCUUAGUGGCGAACGGGUGAGUAACGCGUAAUCAACCUGCCCUUCAGAGGGGGACAACAGUUGGAAACGACUGCUAAUACCGCAUACGAUCUAAUCUCGGCAUCGAGGAUAGAUGAAAGGUGGCCUCUGCAUGUAAGCUAUCACUGAAGGAGGGGAUUGCGUCUGAUUAGCUAGUUGGAGGGGUAACGGCCCACCAAGGCGAUGAUCAGUAGCCGGUCUGAGAGGAUGAACGGCCACAUUGGGACUGAGACACGGCCCAGACUCCUACGGGAGGCAGCAGUGGGGAAUCUUCCGCAAUGGACGAAAGUCUGACGGAGCAACGCCGCGUGAGUGAUGACGGCCUUCGGGUUGUAAAGCUCUGUUAAUCGGGACGAAAGGCCUUCUUGCGAAUAGUGAGAAGGAUUGACGGUACCGGAAUAGAAAGCCACGGCUAACUACGUG
RNAcentral lists this ribosomal RNA (510 nucleotides) under uncultured bacterium. RNAcentral describes it as "partial 16S ribosomal RNA". It matches the Rfam family "Bacterial small subunit ribosomal RNA", at positions 28 to 507 of the family's 1533-position model. The record is from RNAcentral.